Molecule: long non-coding RNA, 2856 nt
Organism: Passer domesticus (house sparrow)
Lineage: Eukaryota; Metazoa; Chordata; Aves; Passeriformes; Passeridae
Exons: 3
Source: RefSeq, a predicted model, not a curated record
UCUAUGUUGCUUGAAUGGAAGCCUUUGCUUUUAGUUUCCACUUUUUUCUAAGCUGUUCACUUGGUCUAUACCCAGAAGUAUGAAAGUGGCUACACUAAUCUAGUUGCUUCUCUAAUGCUUCAGGUGUGAAUAUUGUAACUUUGUGUGCUCCAGCUUUGGUACUUUGUUCUGGAUGCAUGACAGAGAAAAAUUCAAGGCUAUGCUGCAAAAUGUUUGUCUUUCUUCUUUUAAGGCUAACAACCAAGCCCUAUGAUUUUUUCCUCCUCUCCCUCUGUGCUGUAGCUUUUUCACACCUCUCCACUGAAGAACUCCUUCAGAAGCACUAAAAGGAGUCGCUACUUCUUUGGAUAAGAGGUGGUUAAAAAGGCACAGGACUGUGAGGGGGAGAUGGAGCUAUGGAGCUGAGCAAGGCUGAGUCAAGGCAGAGGAAGAGGCAGCAUCAGCUGAAGUCAAGGAGAGAAAACUCUGAUUAUAUAUCACUGUGAAAUGCUAAAAGAGCUGGGCCAUGAAUAUUUCCAUCAACCUGUGUCUCUUCUACCCCACAGAUUCCACUUCCACAAUACAGGCUGUGCUGCAGUAAAAGAAUUCUCUUCCUAAGGACUCAGGAUAUUCACAGUGAGUGCCUCAUUCUGCUCCUGGAGGAGCCCAGCACAACAGGGUGUAAUAGCAGCAGAGACCUUUCCAGAGUGGAGGAGGCUACAAUCUGGUACUAAAAUAAGGAGAGUACAGUGGGGACUCUGCAGGGCAGGAGGGAGUUGCACAGGGAAGAAAGAGAACUUCUGGGGAUUCCUGGCUGGCAGCACCUUGUCAUUCUCCUUGUUGGCUAUUUCUGUAUUUUUACCCAAUGUCUGUUUCAUGUAAAAUCUGUGGAUGGUCCCUGGAGUUGGAGUAGGAUCUAAGUCUCCUUUUCCAGGACAACGUUCUGACUGGCAGGAUAGAGAUCUGAAGUUUAUUAACUACACCUUCAGCACCUUUUGCUUGUGGAGGUCAGACACUGGAGAGAGGACAAUAACUUUAUGCUCACAGCAAUUUUAUAAUCUACUGCUGUUCCGUCCUCUGGGUCUCUUGCAGGAAACUGGUGUCAGAAAGAUGCUGCUGCAGCUUUUGCCAGCAAGGAGUAAUGAUCCCAAAUGCAGCACCCUCUGUACACAUAUCACUGUCUGGGGAUGCUAACAUUGCAAACUGAUUAUACACUUCAAAAGUACCUAACAACCUUCUAUUUAUUUCCUUUGCAGGAGAAAUUCCCCAAGUAGGUCUGUGUCAGUCCUCCCGACCAUUUCUAUUCAUUGCAUUGUUCAAUCAGAAGUGUUAAAAAUACAUUUUUGGAAGCUUUGUUUGAUUGAAAUUCCUCAUGUCCAAAUUAAUUUGGAUGAGUUGGAAAGCUAUUAAUUCUUUGGAGGAGGGAAGCAGGGUGGAAUUGAAAGAUAGCAUGGCAGUUUUGGAGCCAAGCAAAGGGUGUAUUUGCAAACUACAGGUACUGUAGAGAUAUUUCUGACCCCUGAGAAGUUCUAAUCUAAAAGGGAAGCUUCCAUAAUAUGAAAUAACCUCCCCUUCCCUCUCUCUCUGGGUUUAAUCUGAGUAUUAUUUGGGUAGAAGCAAUUUUCUGAUUUUGAAACUUGUGCCAAAUGACAAGCUCCCAGGACAGGACAUUUCAGCUCACUGAGACUGAUGUUCUUGUCACUUUUACUGCCACCUCCAGCACAAAUGGGCAGCAAUGCCAGUUUCCCUGAGCAGCUGCUGGCAUCUGCCACCAAAAUGAUCUCUGGGGGAAUCCACCAGCAGACUGACUCCAGCUGAGAGAGCACAGAGCUUCCAACAUCUCCAUUCUGGGGCAGGUGUGCCAGUAGUCAGGAUGACCGACCUCUGAGGACUGUCUUGCAUUAAGCAAAAGCUUGAAAUGUGCGUCUGGCACAUUUUGGGCCGCAAAGGGUGGUAUUUUUGGACUAAUAUGUGUUUCGACAAUGUGUUCAAACAAUUCUGAAGAUUUCCCACAAUCUAAGCGCUCGUGUUACCUCCUUGCUGGCACUUUGGAGUAUUCUCCAAUUUAAUUUAAUAUCUUGCCUGUGUGUGACCAGAAAAGCUUCCAAAAAUGGUUCCACUUUUAAAUUCAUAGAAAAAGAAUAGUCAAUUCUUAAAUGAUCUGACCAGCACUGAGGCAAUUUCUAUACAUUUCAAAGUAAGUGGUAAUAGAGAACCUUCAUAAAGCAAAUCCUAAACCAUCCCAAACUGUGCUUUCCCAUGAAUGAAUUCCAUCACAAAAACUGCCUGCAUGUGGACUGCAGGAGCUGAAACACAAGAUGUGUUAGCACAAAGGCUGUGUCCAAUCUCAGUCACAACACACAGAGAGGGUAUUGCUAAUCCCACUGCCAGACACUAAGUAAUUUCUUACAGGAAGUGGUUUGUUCAGUCCCAGCAGAGAAAGAGGCAGUUCCACCAUAGGGGCUAUCCAAUUAAGUGCAUUUUUUCAAGAAAAGAUGUAAAAAUAUUUUCCUUCAUAAGCCUGAGCUUCAGCUGUGUAUCUCUAGUGACACAGUAUUUUCGUUCUGCUUGGCUUUUUGUAGUGUUUCAUGAUGUGACAGGUUUCAAGUAUUUAGUGAUUGUAAGAUUAAAAUAUGCAGUGUAAAGGUGGCAGAAGUAUAAUGUGUUUGUUUGUUGCUUUCUUGCUUGAUUUUCCUUAGGUUAGAAGAGGCCAGAAGAAUUCAGAUAAAUCAGAGCUAAAAUGUGGUUUUUUCAAUAUUGAGGAAAUAAAGACUUGUUUACACUUGGAAUAUUCUUUAAUGUAGGCAACCCUUGGAGUAAUAGUAUAUAUGGGGGAGGCUGAGGCUGGAGCUAUUUCUCCUAAGGGAAUUGUGAAUU